UACAGAGGUCCCGAGCGUUGUUCGGAUUCACUGGGCGUAAAGGGUGCGUAGGUGGCGAGGUAAGUCGGAUGUGAAAGCUCGGAGCUCAACUCCGAAAUGGCAUUGGAAACUACCUUGCUCGAGGGUUGGAGGGGGGACUGGAAUACUUGGUGUAGCAGUGAAAUGCGUAGAUAUCAAGUGGAACACCAGUGGCGAAGGCGGCUCACUGGACCGGAACUGACGCUGAGGCGCGAAAGCGUGGGGAGCAAACAGG
This 253-nucleotide ribosomal RNA is filed under the name uncultured bacterium. Its description in RNAcentral is "partial 16S ribosomal RNA". It matches the Rfam family "Bacterial small subunit ribosomal RNA", at positions 524 to 776 of the family's 1533-position model. The record is from RNAcentral.